RNAcentral lists this long non-coding RNA (246 nucleotides) under Elaeis guineensis (African oil palm). Its description in RNAcentral is "long non-coding RNA (EGUI_LNC077431)". The record is from RNAcentral. Lineage: Eukaryota; Viridiplantae; Streptophyta; Magnoliopsida; Arecales; Arecaceae.
GUCCUAGCAUAGGAUAGGAGUGAUCCUAGGGUAGAAGCAAUGCAUAGCUCUCCACUGGCUCGAGAUUCAGGCGAUGAGGAUUUUGAGGGGCUUGAUUGGAGCUUCGGAUUCUUGAAGAUACAAGGUGGAGCAAGGAACCAGAGUCAGAACUGAAGCUGCGGGAGAAGAAGCAGUCUCAGCAGGUUAGUCAACUCAAAUUGAGAUUGAGUCGACUAAGUCAUAGAUGGGUCAACUCUGUCCCAAUGU